GCUGGUUCUCGCGCCGGCCUCUCCGGGGCUCGGCUCCUUUCUCUGGGCGGGGCGGGGCCGGCGCCCGCAUCACCGUGACAUCACCUCCAUUCAGGCGCUAAUCGGGCGCCCGCGGAGCUCCAGGGACCAAGCCCUCUGCUGCACAUCUUUCUGAAGAAGAGGGGAGGGAGGAGGCAGAAGUGUGGCUAUGGAGUCACGAGAACGUCUGAAGGCUGCAUGAAGGGCACACCCCACCCUCCUGCAGCCAGCACGACAGUCAGAGGGGCCGUAGCUGUUACCCCCCUGCCAGGCUCAGACGCCCAGUGCACAAACUUGAUGACCUGAGCUGGUUGACUGGAAGGUCCCCAGGCGCUGAGAUUCAGCAGUCUGCAUGGUGACCGCACCCUCCUCUCUGGCCUGGGAAGGGUUUGAACCAAGCCCUUGGGAAAAUCAACAGCCACACCUGUUGCUCACCUGAAAUCUUUCCUACAUAGGUGUGACCCUUCCUCCCUGAGGUCAGAGAGGACCUGAGGCCAGAAGGUGUGCGGCCAAGCCCUGCAGGAAGCACAGACCCACCCACACAGCGCUUAGGGCACAAAUGAUUUCUUUGGCUUCUUUCUGUGGUCAGAAACAAGGUGCCACCUACACCCACCCUACCAGCAUAACCUAGGGGAGCCGGGUUUAAAACUGGCUUCUCUUGGGCUCAAAAGAAUCCAGAUCACAAUAGGUAGGGUUAGAUUACUCAGCCCAGCGGCUCCCUUUAGAUGUAGAAAAUGCUUUUGGAAGCCCAGGGCCCUGGGGCCUGCACAGGACACACGCUGUCAGCCAGGUCACAUGACCUCCCAGGCCCCACCCCUCCUCUACAGUGUAGCUCUUCCUGCACUGAAAAUCCCUUUUACUGUGUAACGUAAUAAAGUCAGGGUGACUCCUGAGGACAGGGACAGAGAUCACUGGGCCACCCUAUUCCGCAGUGCCUGAGGCCCCUGUGUCCCUAACCUGGCAAUACUCCCAGCCCAGUUUCUGGGAGGAAGUGCCCUUCUCUGUUACUCAGUGAGGCCAGACCAGAAUCCCUAGUACGGGGAUUAUAACAGUGGGGUGGACAGAGGCUGGACAGGCCCGCGGGCAGACAGCUCUUGCCCAGAGGCCAGCUCCCUCCCAACCCAAACAACCCCUACCCACAAGUCUCAGCCUGAAGUUUCAGCUUCCAGUCCAGGAGCAAGGAGAAGCUUGAGUGAUGCCAGAGAACAGAGAGCCAAGAACUUGCAGUUCUGACUACAGGGGCCUCAUCAGCCAGGAACCCCCAUCCCCAGCUUUCUUUUUGCAGUUUUACCUGGUUCCCUCACCGACAUCAUAAAAAUCGUACCCAUUCAUUUAAUAUUUAUUGGAGUGUUGGGGAGGAAGAACUUUCCUCCACCCUUUGAGGUUCUCCUUAGCUGGUCUAAGAAUCAAACUGACAGGACACAGAUUACCAGGAUAAAAAGCCAAAGUUUAAUUAUCUACAUAGGGGGAAGCCAUAGAUGGGGGUUCCCAGGACAGUCAGGGAGAAUGAGGUCUGUGCGUCAUCCUGAACCGAGGAGAAGCGGGUAGGGGCCUGAGACAAGCAAGAAGGGGUGUAACUCUCCGGAAUAUGAAAAGAAAUGUUUGCUAAACAAAAUACUGAUGGACCAUACAGAA
Molecule: long non-coding RNA, 1653 nt
Organism: Manis pentadactyla (Chinese pangolin)
Lineage: Eukaryota; Metazoa; Chordata; Mammalia; Pholidota; Manidae
Exons: 2
Source: RefSeq, a predicted model, not a curated record